This 1348-nucleotide long non-coding RNA is filed under the name Triticum aestivum (bread wheat). Its description in RNAcentral is "long non-coding RNA (TAES_LNC005529)". The record is from RNAcentral. Lineage: Eukaryota; Viridiplantae; Streptophyta; Magnoliopsida; Poales; Poaceae.
UAAGAUCCACUAUGACAAUGAAAAAGAUUUCUGAAAACUGUGUCACCAUAAAUGUUCCAUCAUUGUCCAUAGUAGUCCCAUGCCAUAUUAAUUUCAUAAGAAUAAUUUCUUAUUCAGAUGUUCAUUGUGUUUUUAUGUACUGCUAUAUCUAAAAAAGCAAGUUUCAGCUAAAACCAGAGCCGUGGUUAAGAUACUCUUCGCACCUAGGAUAUGUGUAUAUGUUUAGAUUGCUAACUUUAAACUAUAGUUUUAGAAAAUGUGGUGCCCUCGCUUAUUUUUCUAAUGCAUGAACUUAGGGUAAAUGUUUUAUGUGUAAUGCGUGCUUGAUUUCUUUUUGGUUCUGGUGGAUUUUGAUUUUCUCCACCAUGCUUCUCUCCAACGAGAUGAGUCUGUUUUCGCAGCAGCGGGUGAUGCAUGUGCUUAUUGUUGGUUGUUGCUAUGUGGUAUGCAUUUUCUCAUUGUUGGCUGUUUGUUGUUUGCUAUGAUUAAGAUACAUUGGCAUGUACAUUUUAUAUCAGUUUUGUUUUCAACACCACCUAUCACUGUAUAAUUUGCCGUUAAUAGAGUAGUUUCUCCUUUAUUGCAUUGCAUAAUGCUAGCAAGCUACAUUGCACCAUAAACAAAAAUAAUCCUCUUCCAAGGUUAAACCUGUUUUUUUUCCUUCUAGCAAAGAUCUUUGGAAAAGAUCAAUUCCGUUAGCCUAUAAUAUUGCAGUUCUUUCGUAUCCUUCAAAGAUUUAUAAAUAUUUUCUGUUUCCACUCCAUUCGUUCUCAUGGAUUCUGAAAAAUAUAUUUUUGUUUUUUGUUGAUUAAUAAUAUUGCUUUCCAUUUCAGUUUUGAGGUGGUCGAUGCAUGUAGAAUAUACAGACUUUCCUAGAAUGGCGCCUUUUAGUUUUUCUGCUUGAUGUUAGUUCAUUGAUGAGAACACCUAUGUACAUGAUUGCUGCAUGCAUGAUAUCCUACUAUGUACUGAGAAAUAUUUUUGUUUUCCGGACAUUGUUUUCUAAAUCCUAUCAACAUAUUACCUGAUAUGGUCUUUGAAGUUUCUAUUUUAUAGCGACUCUUUGCACUGGUCAACUUGAGUAUGGUAUGGUUAUCUUUUCUUUUGUUUACAGGCGAUGUGUGGUAGAAGUUGUACUCACAGGAAGACUAUCGUGCUGUGUAUAAACCACGUUCUAUGAUUCACUUAUGUUAUACAUAUUUACUUUCCAGUUUUAGGACUGAAAUCCAUCCAUUGUAAUGAAUUUGGUUGUAUGGGCAUUACCUAUUUGACUUAGGCUUGCUUCAUCACAUAUAGACUGCUUUUCUUUUCCCCAUUGCUUGUAUGACCUAAAACUAUCAUGUAUAUG